AGACAAAGACAAAGCCGUGAAAGCCCAGGGUGAACCCUCGUCAAGACCUCGUUGUUUGGGUGCUUUGCGUUCACCAGAAAAAAGUGAAUCUACAAAAAGAAAGAAAACAGCUUAAUCAUUAGCUACAAAGAAACCUUGCAUGGGUAAUCCUAAUAAUAGUGUUAGUUCUCCUUCUGCAAAUGUGUUUUCAACUGCAUUGGAAAGUGAUAUUACCCAACUUGAUGAUAGGUUUGAUGUUUCCCGUCAAGAAAAGCUUGCACAAAGUGGUGAACAGUUGUUGAAAAUGAUUGUUGAUGUAGCAACUAUUUUUAAUGAUAUUCCUCAAGCUGCUACCCAGAAAAUGAAAACGCAAAGGGUGCUUCUUGGGCAGAAAGAAUGGAAAACAUGGAUUCUUUGUGGGAGGGAGUCAGAGAAUCUGUUCACAUCAAUUUUCUUUCAAAGCAGGCUUAUCCAUUGGUCAUUCAGUGUGAUAACUGCUCGCAGUCACUUUCUGGAGGGAGAGCUAUCAGGUGUUUGACAUUCAAAAAACAUUAUUGUGGGGACUGUGAUUUUUCCUUUCAUGCCCAGAAACCAUUUCAUAAUCGAUGGUUAGUUUCCAGCAAUAGUUGGUACUCCUUGAAAACAAUGGAAUUUGUGGAUUACACUGGGAAACUCGUAGAGAAAGAUGUUCCAGUCCCCUGUUUUGACUAUGCAAGAUUUUGAACGAGGUUAUUUUCCUUGGCUUCUUGUAGAAGGUAAACUUGACAUGUAUAUACAUUGCGCAAUAUUGUAUUAAUGUGUAAAUGUAUUUCUUGUACGUUAAAGGUUCGUGGCGGGAAGAGAUUUCUUUCUAUGAAAGUAGGUUACAAGACAGUAUUUUUGAAUAAGUUUUCUUUUUAA
Daphnia pulex (common water flea) is the source of this 879-nucleotide long non-coding RNA. RefSeq lists it as uncharacterized. The transcript is spliced from 3 exons. Lineage: Eukaryota; Metazoa; Arthropoda; Branchiopoda; Diplostraca; Daphniidae. The record is from RefSeq and is a predicted model, not a curated record.